Molecule: long non-coding RNA, 203 nt
Filed under: Elaeis guineensis (African oil palm)
Lineage: Eukaryota; Viridiplantae; Streptophyta; Magnoliopsida; Arecales; Arecaceae
Description: long non-coding RNA (EGUI_LNC074140)
Source: RNAcentral
GUUCGGUUAUGGUCAAUCUGAAAUAGCUCGUCCGGAGUCGAAAUGAGGUCCUCAGUAAGAACUGAUAACCAAGAAUAGCCGGUAUCAUUUUGAUACGGUGUGUUCAACAACUUUCGGAUUUAUGGCGCAUACAUGAUCUGACUAAUACCCAUCUUCCACAGUUCGGCUGGUGCCGAGGAUGUAUCCAGUUGAGACCGAAGUGG